RNAcentral lists this ribosomal RNA (228 nucleotides) under uncultured bacterium. RNAcentral describes it as "partial 16S ribosomal RNA". It matches the Rfam family "Bacterial small subunit ribosomal RNA", at positions 355 to 573 of the family's 1533-position model. The record is from RNAcentral.
UAGGGAAUCUUCCACAAUGGACGCAAGUCUGAUGGAGCAACGCCGCGUGAGUGAAGAAGGUUUUCGGACCGUAAAGCUCUGUUGUUGGUGAAGAAGGAUAGAGGUAGUAACUGGCCUUUAUUUGACGGUAAUCAACCAGAAAGUCACGGCUAACUACGUGCCAGCAGCCGCGGUAAUACGUAGGUGGCAAGCGUUGUCCGGAUUUAUUGGGGCGUAAAAGUGAGCGCA